Long non-coding RNA from Diorhabda sublineata, 1010 nucleotides. RefSeq lists it as uncharacterized. NCBI's taxonomy places the organism in Eukaryota, Metazoa, Arthropoda, Insecta, Coleoptera, Chrysomelidae. The transcript is spliced from 3 exons. The record is from RefSeq and is a predicted model, not a curated record.
CUCAAAAUAUCCAUUUGGAUUUUAUUCUAUAUUCUAUAGCAUAUUCAUAAACUUGACGUUGCUGCUGUUAACCUAAAAAUUUUGUUAUUCUUUUUGACGUGUGUACAGCAUUUUGGUUUUCGUGAUAUUUUUGUUGGUUAUUCGGUAUUUAUUGACGAUAUUAUGGAAAAUAACGAAAAGAAAACAAACAGAAAGAUAAAUAACCCCAACAUCACGCUCUAACGUCAUAUGUCAAAACCAUGUGACAUAUUGCUACGAACGGCCGACGAGGAAAGAUAAAAUUUGUUUAUGUUGAAAGUCACCGAUGAAUGGUCUUAUGUAUUUAAAUGUUUUUAACUUUGUAACAACAAAUGUCAACGGCAACGGAAAAUCAAGUUUGUAAUUAUGAACAAAUUUAAACAUUUCGUGAGCUUCUUUGGCAAUUUUUUCAAAUUGAAAUAAAAUUUAAUGUAAAUACAAGUUUCACGAUAGAAUUUGAAGAAAAAUUUAUUUACGUUCGAUAUAAAAAACAUACCCAAAAUUUGGACAAUUUUUUUGAGCAAGCCUACAAAUUAGCUCAGACUAGCAGGUCGGAUAAGUUAGGUCUACCUGGAAAAAUGUUAGUAGUGAAACAAAGGAAUUAGUAUGGAACUAAAGUACAUUCAAUUCUACCAUCAUGGGAAAUAGUUAUUCAGUGCAUUUGAAGACUUUUUUAUUUAAUACCUACAACAUUAUGAUCUCUGGCAGUACGGAAGAUUUAAAUCAUAUAAUUUUAAUCGUGACGUUUCCUUUGUCUUUUUUGAUUCUUUAUGAUGGAUGUGAGGCGAAAAGCUGUAAUUUUGCGGUGUCGAUUCAGUCUCAAAAGAAUCGUAAAAUUGCGAUUCUUCCAAAUAUUUUCUUUGAAUUGUUCCGCAAGUAACAAGAUGCGGAUAAAUUAUCAACAACAAAAACACUUUCAUUGUUAUAUAUUAAUAAAAUAAUUAUGUUACUGUGUUUUGUGUAAGUUUAAAAUAAAACAUACUUGCAAUUCA